This 113-nucleotide ribosomal RNA is filed under the name Bacillota bacterium. RNAcentral's name for it is "partial 16S ribosomal RNA". It matches the Rfam family "Bacterial small subunit ribosomal RNA", at positions 1 to 115 of the family's 1533-position model. The record is from RNAcentral. Lineage: Bacteria; Bacillati; Bacillota.
UUAUUUAAGAGUUUGAUCCUGGCUCAGGAUGAACGCUGGCGGCGUGCCUAACACAUGCAAGUCGAGCGGGAAAUCCGUGACGGAUCCUUCGGGUGACGGAUCGGAUGGAGAGC